CCAUUGCUGCAACCUCGCCAGUCUAUUUACCCCGAACACAGCAACGUUAUGGUUCCAGUCUAUUUCACCAAUGUAUUUAUAAGGUAAUAAUGCAGAGGGCGUGGGUUGGGCUUACAAAGACCCAGAACAAGUUCAAUUACAGCCGCAAGCGUGGUUUACCUAUCCUCAGUAUGACAAGAUUCGACGAAUACUCUGCUUGGAUGAUCCACAUGACGGUGUCAAAUAAGGCACUAUGUACUUCUUCAUGUCGCUCCUUGAUAUGCGGAGGUGACCUCCGGGCACCGACACAAACUUAACACGCCCAGCCUCAUCCAAAGUCCUCAAGCUGAUCCAAUCUUCGGUAUUUAGCUUUGCCGGAUGUAAAGUAAUCAAUCCGUUAUUUUUCCAUUCAUUGAUCGAAGGCAUUUAAGAGUUUUGUUACGUCAUCGUACGCCAGAGAAGGCACAUGAAUUAUUCAAUCUACUUUUCCUUUCAAUCGAGAAGAUUUUAAUAUAUGAAGUUUCUGAAUAUUGUAGGAAACAUGAACCAUUUUUAAAUCCUGAACAGAUUUUUCAAAAUUAUGCACACCUAAAGAAAAACGCGAACACAAUUAGAAACAGAAUCAUCUUUUAAAAUUCACAGACAUUUUUUGAAAACACCAACUUUUUUUAAUAAAAACAUGAAUAUUAUUGGAAUUUGUGAACAUUUUUAGAAUGGAAACAUGUGUUGAAAAUUCAUAACUUUUUUGAAAAUGUGUAUCUUUUAACAUUACUUUGAAUUGUGAAAAUUUCUCUAAAACAAGAAUAUUUUUUGAAUUUUUUAAAUUUCAUUUUCUUUUUAAGUUAUGAAUUUUUGGAAAACAAUAUUUUUUUUGAAAAAUGGGAAACUUUUUUCAAGUUCCGAAUAUUUUUCAAAAUAGCAACAAAAUUUUGAAAUUCUGAAUAUUUUCUAUAAUUUGAUUUUUAUUUUAAAUACUGACAUUUUUUGAGAAUUUUGAAUUUAUGAAAUAAAUUCUAUAAGAAAAAUAAACUUGGUAGGGAAAAACAGAUAAGGAAGGAGGAUAAAAAUAGAAGUAAAACACAGAAACAAAGAAAAAUGGGCCAGCUCAUUAUUGGUUGUCCUGUGUGAAGCUCCAACUAUUUGUCGCUCUGUAAGGAAAAGAGAAUUUUUCCAGCUGCGUGCACAGAAAAAUAAGUCUGCUGGCUCGCUGGGCCACAGCGCGCGGCCAUGUAUGAAAUUCUGAAAAAGUCUUUUUUUCAGCAGACGAACACAUAAGAAUUUAGUACCACCUCGGAUAGAAAAAAAAUCGAUGGUUAAUGGAUGAAAAAAUUGGCGAAACGCACCUUGCUUUAUUAGUAGAGAAGAUAAGAUAUAGAUAUAGAUACAAAUACAAGCAUGUCAUAUCAUCACACAAUUAUGGAUGAGAUAAGACCCACCUCAACAUGCAAUCAUGCAUAGAAAAAGACCCAUCACCACAAGCAACCAUACAUUGAAAAUAUUUUUCAUUCAACUAUUCUAUUUAUAUUUAAUAGAUACUUUACAAGUAUACAUAAUCAAAUAUAAUAAAGUAUAUGUGUUCUAAAUUUUGGUUCAUAUAUUACUAACUUAAAUAUUUAUAUUUCACUCAAUCAAAUUUUAUAAAAUAUAUUAUAACCGAUUCCCGCAGCAAUGCGUGGGGUAUCAUCUACUUCCUCUACAGAGAAAUAUAAGAGCGUUUAGAUACGCUCUUAUAUUUCUUUCCGGAGGGGGUAGUUGUUAUAACAAUCCCAGCUAGCUCCUGUUCGCAUGAAAAUAAAAGAAUAUUGUUGCUAUCUGGCUCCUGUUCUUUGGAAGAAGAAAAAGAAGUUGAAGAGAAAUAAUGCUGAAUAACAAGAAGAGCCGCUGGAACAGGCAGCCGUUCCCUGGCGCUCACACACCGGCGCCGGCUCUUGGCAAUUAGCGUUGCUUAUACUAAUGUUGAGAUCUUUCCAUCAGAAGAAGAGCUUAGCCCACCAUCGUAGCAUAAUGAGCAUCAGAAAUAACCUUGUUCCAAAAGGAAAAUCAGAAAUAACCUAAAUAAUGGGGCAACGUGCACGACGGCUACCGGAUCCUCAUUCUUACUUUUAUAGGUUGCUUAUAUGUUUUGUUGUCCUUCGUUUGAACUGUCUACUAUUUCUCUCAGUAGAUACCUCCUCUGUAAAGAAAUAUAAAAACGUUUAGAUCACUAAAAGUAGAAAGUACUAUUAAAAAUUAAAAUGCAAAAAUAUCUUUUUUUUAGGUAAAAAAUAUCUUAUACGUAGCUACAAAGGGAGUACCAAAUACAAGAUGCUCUUUGAUGUCUUUUUUGCAGAAGAAAAAAGUUUAACGCUUUGAAUCUAGUAGGAUCCAAGAAAUUACAUAGUAAUUCCUGUAACUAAAAAUUACAAUAAAAUACUUUGGAGAUAUCUUCUCCAUGGUAUCAAUCUUUAUAAGAUGAAAUACUUCUAUGAUUUCAGUAAAGAAGUCAUAAUUGGAUAAUAGCAACGAGAUUUUCAUUCAUUCGCCUGCAUAAACUUGAUUACGGAUUUAAGCCGGUCACGCUCAUGUAAAUAGACGAGAAGCACGUUUUAAGGUCGAAGUUGCUCUUUUGCGCUGCUGAAUUUAUAGUAAACCUUUUUCUAAGCUGGUGCCACCAUUUGGACCCACUUGCUGUUCGCUGCCGCAAAAGAUGAUGUUUCUAAGCCGGUGCCACCAUUUGGAACUAGUUGUUGUUUGCCGCUGCCCUCUCUUUUGCUUCUUCGCGUACGUGAGGGUGCACCUCACAGGGAUGUUGUCAUUGUGGAUGCAAGACGCCUCCUCUAGCGCAGUCAUCUUGACCCCAAGUGCUUGAACCAGUUGCCACCGCUAAGUGUCUCCUCCUCGUGGAACACGGUGCGCUCCCAGGUGUGGUCUAGGAUUUCUAUGGAGACGGUGAUGCCCGAGGGAGAGUCUCCGGUGACCGCGAAAACGGUGACACCGACGUACAUGGGCACUCCUUUGUUGAAAACAGACGGACUAACCGUGACGUGCCAGACGCGGCUGCGGAAGCGAAAGGUCCGGACCAAAGUGGACCGGGUUCCGGGGGGAAUCAGCGCCAGCUUCGAGUAGCCGGGGAUCGCGAACAGCUCCGUGAUGGAUUCCGUCGGGGACGAGCGGCUGGCCAUGGUCUUCCGUGAUCUGCAAUCGGUUACAGGGGUACGUAACACCAGCGUCUGUAUACAGGAAUAUAUAUAUACUAAGCCUGGCGAUAAAAAAAAAAGGAAACCAGAUCUAACUCUGCCCGAUCGUUCGGGCGGAAAUCGAAGACCUAUCUGUCCCCGACAAGUCUCUCGAUCCAGCACGUCCGUGCCUGUCUGCCUUCCGGACGGUACUGUUAGGAAUCAGCCGACGUAGUAUCUCACAACCAACCGUGACCGUCAUUAGCAAACUGACAUUACCUGAAUCACCACGUGUUAAUUAAUGUACUACCAACGUCUACCUCUAUCCCUAUCCCUAUCUCUACUACUCCUCUGUUCAUUUUUAUAAGUCGUUUAAGACAGCUAAAAUUGAACAGUUUUAGGUGCUGUCUUAAAUAAAUGUCUAAAAACGUCUUACAAAAGUGAACGGAGGGAGUACUUCAAAAAUGAGUAAGAUUACUUUGAGAUUGGAAAAUAGGCGGGGAUGUAGGACCAACAUUUGCAUAGAAAAGGUUCAGAAAACAUGGGUUGGGCUUAAACUGUUGAUAUUCCGUUUCCACGGUAGCUCGAUCCCAUGCUAGGAUCAAACUACCAGUCACAACAUUUGCGCAAAUUGAUUCCAUGAUGACCGGAAGAUGAGACCAUUGCUGCAAACUCGCCAGUCUAUUUACCCCGAACACAGCAACGUUAUGGUUCCAGUCUGUUUCGCCAAUGUAUUUAUAAGGUAAUAAUGCAGAGAGACAUGGGUUGGGCUUACAAAGACCCAGAACAAGUGCAAUUACAGCCGCAAGCGUGGUUUACCUAUCCUCAAUAUGACAAGAUUCGACGAAUACUCUGCUUGGAUGAUCCACAUGACGGUGUCAAAUAAGGCACUAUGUACUUCUUCAUGUCGCUCCUUGAUAUGCGGAGGUGACCUCCUGGCACCGACACAAACUUAACACGCCCAGCCUCAUCCAAAGUCCUCAAGCCGAUCCAGUCUUCGGUAUAUAGCUUUGUCUACACACAAGGCAUUUUCUUGCAGUCAGACACAAAUGAUAAUAACCAUACGAAAUCGCCAGAAAUUUCUUUUCAAGGAGUUGAUGCGAUGCGAGGAAUGAUGAAGUACUUUUUGGUAGAAAGAAAGAUGCAAUUCAGAAGCAGCAC
Molecule: long non-coding RNA, 4295 nt
Filed under: Triticum aestivum (bread wheat)
Lineage: Eukaryota; Viridiplantae; Streptophyta; Magnoliopsida; Poales; Poaceae
Description: long non-coding RNA (TAES_LNC019402)
Source: RNAcentral